AUUGAACGCUGGCGGCAGGCUUAACACAUGCAAGUCGAACGGUAACAGGGUGCUUGCACCGCUGACGAGUGGCGAACGGGUGAGUAAUGCGUCGGAACGUGCCGAGUAGUGGGGGAUAACGCAGCGAAAGUUGUGCUAAUACCGCAUACGUACUGAGGUAGAAAGUGGGGGACCUGCGGGCCUCACGCUAUUCGAGCGGCCGACGUCUGAUUAGCUAGUAGGUGAGGUAAAGGCUCACCUAGGCGACGAUCAGUAGCGGGUCUGAGAGGAUGAUCCGCCACGCUGGGACUGAGACACGGCACAGACUCCUACGGGAGGCAGCAGUGGGGAAUUUUGGACAAUGUGCGAAAGCCUGAUCCAGCCAUGCCGCGUGUCUGAAGAAGGCCUUCGGGUUGUAAAGGACUUUUGUCAGGGAGGAAAUCCCUAGUGCUAAUAACACUGGGGGAUGACAGUACCUGAAGAAUAAGCACCGGCUAACUACGUGCCAGCCGCCGCAGUAA
This 500-nucleotide ribosomal RNA is filed under the name uncultured bacterium. Its description in RNAcentral is "partial 16S ribosomal RNA". It matches the Rfam family "Bacterial small subunit ribosomal RNA", at positions 30 to 523 of the family's 1533-position model. The record is from RNAcentral.